RNAcentral lists this ribosomal RNA (251 nucleotides) under uncultured bacterium. RNAcentral's name for it is "partial 16S ribosomal RNA". It matches the Rfam family "Bacterial small subunit ribosomal RNA", at positions 525 to 775 of the family's 1533-position model. The record is from RNAcentral.
ACGUAGGUGGCAAGCGUUGUCCGGAUUUACUGGGCGUAAAGGGAGCGUAGGCGGAUAUUUAAGUCAGAUGUGAAAUACCCGAGCUUAACUUGGGUGCUGCAUUUGAAACUGGAUAUCUGGAGUGCAGGAGAGGAAAGUGGAAUUCCUAGUGUAGCGGUGAAAUGCGUAGAGAUUAGGAAGAACACCAGUGGCGAAGGCGACUUUCUGGACUGUAACUGACGCUGAGGCUCGAAAGCGUGGGGAGCAAACAG